GUAGGGAAUAUUGCGCAAUGGGGGAAACCCUGACGCAGCGACGCCGCGUGAGUGAUGAAGGCCUUCGGGUCGUAAAGCUCUGUUGCAGGGGAAUAAAAAAAUGAAGGUACCCUGUGAGGAAGGAUCGGCUAACUUCGUGCCAGCAGCCGCGGUAAGACGAGGGAUCCUAGCGUUGCUCGGAAUCAUUGGGCGUAAAGAGGGCGUAGGUGGCUUGGUAAGUCAGGUGUGAAAGCCCAGGGCUCAACCCUGGAAGUGCAUUUGAUACUGCUGAGCUUGAGUGUCGGAGAGGUUACCGGAAUACCUGGUGUAGUGGUGAAAUACGUAGAUAUCAGGUGGAACACCGGAGGCGAAGGCGGGUAACUGGACGAACACUGACACUGAGGCCCGAAAGCGUGGGGAUCAACAGGAUUAGAUACCCUGGUAGUCC
This 427-nucleotide ribosomal RNA is filed under the name uncultured bacterium. Its description in RNAcentral is "partial 16S ribosomal RNA". It matches the Rfam family "Bacterial small subunit ribosomal RNA", at positions 354 to 796 of the family's 1533-position model. The record is from RNAcentral.